RNAcentral lists this ribosomal RNA (447 nucleotides) under uncultured Mitsuokella sp. RNAcentral describes it as "bacterial SSU rRNA". It matches the Rfam family "Bacterial small subunit ribosomal RNA", at positions 355 to 794 of the family's 1533-position model. The record is from RNAcentral. Lineage: Bacteria; Bacillati; Bacillota; Negativicutes; Selenomonadales; Selenomonadaceae.
UGGGGAAUCUUCCGCAAUGGGCGCAAGCCUGACGGAGCAACGCCGCGUGAGUGAAGAAGGGUUUCGACUCGUAAAGCUCUGUUGUCGGGGACGAACGUGGAGACUAUGAAUAAUGGUUUUCAAUGACGGUACCUGACGAGGAAGCCACGGCUAACUACGUGCCAGCAGCCGCGGUAAUACGGAAGGUCCGGGCGUUAUCCGGAUUUAUUGGGUUUAAAGGGUGCGCAGGCGGCGCGCCAAGUCAGCGGUCAAAGUUCCGGGCUCAACCCGGUGUCGCCGUUGAAACUGGCGUGCUCGAGUGCGUGCGAGGAAGGCGGAAUGCGUUGUGUAGCGGUGAAAUGCAUAGAUAUGACGCAGAACUCCGAUUGCGAAGGCAGCUUUCCAGCGCGCUACUGACGCUGAGGCACGAAAGCGUGGGGAUCGAACAGGAUUAGAUACCCUGGUAGU